Molecule: long non-coding RNA, 763 nt
Filed under: Chrysemys picta bellii (western painted turtle)
Lineage: Eukaryota; Metazoa; Chordata; Testudines; Emydidae
Description: lncRNA (ENSCPBG00000011875.1)
Source: RNAcentral
UAAACUAGAUUAUGCCUAGCUAUCAAGUAUAUUAAAGGAUUCUGUAACCAUUAGCAAUAUACAGUAAAAUACUGUCUGUUUGGGAAAUGGGUACAAAGUAAGGUGGGAGCAAGUUAAGAGUGAAAUUUAUUUAUUUUUUAUAAAAGAAAGUGAAUUGAAAAUGUUUGUUAGGCCAAAGGCCACUGCAUAAAGGACAGCUGGGUUUCUGAGGAAGAUGAGGGUCUAAUUAGUCCAGGAAAACAUAGGGAGAGAGAGAAAGGGGUAACAAAUAAUAAAUAUAUCCAAAGGAGUUGAGAAAGGUGUUUUUAAAUAUGUUUCGUAUUUUGUGUUUAAUUUACUGAAUAUUUUGUCUCCAGCUAGUUAUAAUAUAAGGCCCUGAUUCUGCAAUCUGAUCCACAAAAAUGGACAUCCAUCCCUAAGGACCUCAAAGGGACUCAUUAUUGUCUACUGUAGGGUAAUGUUUAGCAGUGAAGAGGAGGUACUUUAUGCCACCUUCUGUGAAGAAACAUGAGACAACUAAACUGGGAAAGAGGAGUUAUCAGCAAUAAAAUCAGGAUGGCUGGCAAGGUAGGUUUAUGUGAAGGAGAAAAUAUGUUUUGAAGUGAAUUCCCUUGGUCUCACAUGCAAGAUGUUAGGAGUGGCACCUUUUUCCCUUGUGCAUGCAGUUGAAGUUCAAAGAAACUCCACGCAAAGUAUGAAGUAAGAUAUUUGUUUUUCAAUUUCAAUGCUAUCACUUAAGGUUCAGAAUGAUAUGUAGAUGAGU